RNAcentral lists this ribosomal RNA (484 nucleotides) under uncultured bacterium. RNAcentral's name for it is "partial 16S ribosomal RNA". It matches the Rfam family "Bacterial small subunit ribosomal RNA", at positions 29 to 523 of the family's 1533-position model. The record is from RNAcentral.
AGUGAACGCUGGCGGCGUGCUUAACACAUGCAAGUCGAACGAGAACGGGCUAUAGCUUGCCAUAAUUGUCAGCUAAGUGGCGCACGGGUGAGUAAUGUAUAGGUAAUAUGCCUCUUACUAAGGGAUAACAAAUGGAAACGUUUGCUAAUACCUUAUACUCCUUAUUAACAGAAGUUAAUAAGGGAAAGAUUUAUUGGUAAGAGAUUAGCCUGUAUUGUAUCAGUUAGUUGGUGGGGUAAUGGCUUACCAAGACUAUGACACAUAACUGGUUUGAGAGGAUGAUCAGUCUCACUGGAACUGAGACACGGUCCAGACUCCUACGGGAGGCAGCAGUGGGGAAUAUUGCACAAUGGACGAAAGUCUGAUGCAGCAACGCCGCGUGGAGGAUGACACAUUUCGGUGCGUAAACUCCUUUUAUAUGAGAAGAUAAUGACGGUAUUAUAUGAAUAAGCACCGGCUAACUCCGUGCCAGCAGCCGCGGUAA